RNAcentral lists this ribosomal RNA (460 nucleotides) under uncultured bacterium. RNAcentral's name for it is "SSU rRNA". It matches the Rfam family "Bacterial small subunit ribosomal RNA", at positions 26 to 518 of the family's 1533-position model. The record is from RNAcentral.
AGAAUCAACGCUGGCGGCGUGCCUAACACAUGCAAGUCGAACGAGAAAGUGGAGCAAUCCAUGAGUACAGUGGCGUACGGGUGAGUAACACGUGACUAACCUACCCUCGAGUGGGGAAUAACCUCGGGAAACCGGGGCUAAUACCGCAUAACAUCUUCGGAUCAAAUGCGUAAGCAGCUUGAGGAGGGGGUCGCGGCCGAUUAGCUAGUUGGCGGGGUAAUGGCCCACCAAGGCAAUGAUCGGUAGCCGGCCUGAGAGGGCGCACGGCCACACUGGAACUGAAACACGGUCCAGACUCCUACGGGAGGCAGCAGUGGGGAAUUUUGCGCAAUGGGGGAAACCCUGACGCAGCAACGCCGCGUGGAGGAUGAAGCCCCUUGGGGUGUAAACUCCUUUCGAUCGGGACGAUUAUGACGGUACCGGAUGAAGAAGCACCGGCUAACUCUGCGCCAGCAGCCGC